Molecule: long non-coding RNA, 1904 nt
Organism: Xiphophorus hellerii (green swordtail)
Lineage: Eukaryota; Metazoa; Chordata; Actinopteri; Cyprinodontiformes; Poeciliidae
Exons: 2
Source: RefSeq, a predicted model, not a curated record
UGACUUUAGCCACAUGAAGACCCAUUUUAGCCUAAGGACAUGGUGGGGGUGGAAGAAAGAAUGCUAAUGAAGAUGUGCUAGGGGUGUGGAGGAUGCUAAUAAGGACCAGCCACGAGAGAAAGAAAUCCCUGUUUGACCAAAGAGAAAGAAGCAGAUGAAAUAUUUCCCAAGAAAAUUAGUGACCUCAGUGGAUUGAGUCAUCACCCACUAUGAGAAUGUCCAGGAGAGAUUCACCAAGUUUGAAUUCAUGAAAAAGCUUUCACCAUGAUUAACAUUGAUCACAACCAUUUCAAGAACAGCUACAAUUUCUGAGCAUUUCCAGACACUUUCAAAGAGCUGCUCCUAGGAAAUGAAGACAAGAAGAAUAUCUCCCUGUUGUCAGAGUGUGUAGUGGAAAAAUUAAAGUAAGGUUACACCUGCUAGUUGUAUUGCUAUAUGUUUAUUCUAAGUUCCAGUAUAUUCCCACCAAGUUAAACUAUUUUGGUUACAUGUACAAGGUUGGACGUUGUUUUUCAAAACUGCAUGGGAACCAGUCUGUUUCCCAGGCUUAGGAUCCCUUAUCCCAUUGUAUAAAACUCAUGUGUUGUCUCUGCCUGGCAGAGCUUUUCAUCCAGACCUGCUUCAUUACUGAUUGUCCUACAAGCUCUCUGUAUUGUGCACAAUAUAUGAAUAAACCUGACUGAGUGAUUUCACCUGAACAGUGCUUGGAAAUAGUUUUUUUCCACGACAGUUUGGUGCCGUGACCCGGAUCCCUCGACUGGACAUCCGAGGACGUCGAUGAACAGCGUUUGGCCAACCUGGACUAAAUUCCAGCCUCAAACCUCGAUUUAAGAGAAAAGGGCUGUUGGUCGGCUCCACGGCUCCAGCGCUGGGAUCAACGAACUCAAAACCACUGUUAUCAGGUGGGAUACACACUCAGGCUAACAAAUUAAUUUUACAAAUUCCAAAUUAUUAAAUCUAAAAUAGUUAAGGAUCCGAUAAACCUUUCACCCUGGGAAAUAGAGAUUGACGGUGUUAAGAGGAAACGUUGGGUUAAAAUCCCACGGGGAAAAUUAAUAAGAAAAAUAAAAUAAAAGACAUUAAAAAAAUAAAAUAAAAUAAUUUAAAAAAAAAAAAGAAAACAACGGAUGGGAAAGAGUCCCUCCGGAAUUGUUUGAGUUUCAAUCUCAAACGGAAGAGAAAAAAGGGAACCACGGGUUUCUAGGCUGAGGGUCCUAGUGAAAGACCUUAUCGGUGAAUAAGGCAGGUAUUUUCUUAAGUUUUGGUUUUCUAAAUUGGGGGAACUAAACCUUUAGAGAAUCCUAAAGACCUUUAUCAGAAAUAAAGGCCCCUCUUAAAGGAGUAAGAGGCAGAGCGACCACAAAGCUGAUUUGUUGGAUUCUGCGAAGACGUUUGCAGUCUAAAGAGGAAAUCCCACCCAAUUCAAGAAGAAUGGGUCUACAUGGUUCCAGAACGCAAUCUCCUCCUCAGGAUGAACUGUUUGACUAUUUGAUAAUGAAAUAUUGAAAAAAAAGGAGUGUGCUUGGUGUGAAUGAAUGUGGAAUGACUUUAAAUGGUGGAAUAUUUUCCUGCAAAGCGAAUUAGAAGCAGAGGAGCAAACAGAUAAAGAAUAAAAAUGCUGAACAUAAUUCUUUUUUACUAAAUUACAGGCCUUGAUGUUAAAACAAAAUGUGUCUUGUGUCUUUUUCUCUUUGAAUAAACAAAAUUAUUUCAUUAUUUUAAAUUAUAAUUAUUAUUUUAUUUCUUACAAAGGAUCAAUCAAUCAAUUUUAUUUAUAAGGGACCCUUUCUUACUACAAGCAGCUCAAAGAGCUGUACAAAUAAUUCCCCCCCUUUUUCCCCUUCCACAACAGUGUUACAGGAAGGUUAUAACCAUGGAGAUAGCUGACACAAGCAAAGCAAAAA